GACAGAGGGUGCAAACGUUGUUCGGAAUCACUGGGCGUAAAGCGCACGUAGGCGGCUUCUUAAGUCAGGGGUGAAAUCCUGGAGCUCAACUCCAGAACUGCCUUUGAUACUGAGGAGCUUGAGUCCGGGAGAGGUGAGUGGAACUGCGAGUGUAGAGGUGAAAUUCGUAGAUAUUCGCAAGAACACCAGUGGCGAAGGCGGCUCACUGGCCCGGUACUGACGCUGAGGUGCGAAAGCGUGGGGAGCAAACAGG
RNAcentral lists this ribosomal RNA (253 nucleotides) under uncultured bacterium. RNAcentral describes it as "partial 16S ribosomal RNA". It matches the Rfam family "Bacterial small subunit ribosomal RNA", at positions 524 to 776 of the family's 1533-position model. The record is from RNAcentral.